CACACAGCGAGUCAGGCUGAAUCCGGAAGUUCCACCUCAGCAAAAGACAAUCCAGACUGAGUCCUGAGGGCUGUGGGGUAUCAUAAAAGUUGGCACAGCGGCAGAAAAGACUGAAAAAGACAUUUUUGAAAAGAUUCAUCUGGGAGAACAUCUAGCAACUAAUUAGGGUAAGUGACAAGGAUUUGACAUUACUAAAUGGGCCCAGGAAAACUUCCAGAAACCACCGUCGGUAAACACAAUCCUCCAUGCCAUCUGCAGAUGCCAGCUAAAGCCCUAUCAUGCAAAACGGGAACCAUACAUGAACAUGGGGACAGAACCACCAUCAUCUCCUGUGGUCCACGGCUCAUUCAAAUGGGCUGUUUAAAAGUGUACAAGUGUUCUAUGGUCAGAUGAGUCUAAAUUUGACGUUCUAGUUGAAAAUCACAGACACUGCGUACUCCGGCCGGUGUGUUAUCAGCAUUCAGUUCAAAGGCCAGCAUCUCUGAUUGUAUGGGGGUGCAUAAGUGCAUAUGAAUGGGCAGCUUAAUGUUUUGGAAGGCACUAUAAAUCCUGAAAGGCAUAUAAAGGUUUUAGAGCAACAUAUGCUCCCCUCCAGAUGACGUGUAUUUCAGAGAAGGCCUUGGGUAUUUCUGCAGGACAAUGCAAAUCCUUCUACUGCUGCUAUUACAUCAGCAUGGCUUUGUAUCAGAAGAGUCUGGGUGCUGAACUGUCCAGAUAUUUCACCUACUGAGAACAUUUGGCGCAUCAUCAAAUCAAAUAUAUGUCAAAGACGAUCAUGAACUCUUCAGGCAGGAAUGGGACCAAAUUCCAACACCAAAACUCAUAACCUCGAUGCCCAGACAUCCUUAAACUGUUUUGAAAAGAUGAGGAGAAGCUACACCAUAGUAAAUAUGCAGGCAUCAAAUAUGGAAUUAGCUCAUUUUGUGCAUAGAAUUUAUGUUAUCUGUGUUCUAUUGUGAAUGAAAUAUCGGCUCAUGCGAUUUAAAA
This is a long non-coding RNA of Puntigrus tetrazona (Sumatra barb), 987 nucleotides long. RefSeq lists it as uncharacterized. The record is from RefSeq and is a predicted model, not a curated record. The transcript has 3 exons. Lineage: Eukaryota; Metazoa; Chordata; Actinopteri; Cypriniformes; Cyprinidae.